RNAcentral lists this long non-coding RNA (641 nucleotides) under Sus scrofa (pig). RNAcentral's name for it is "lncRNA (ENSSSCG00025016983.1)". The record is from RNAcentral. Lineage: Eukaryota; Metazoa; Chordata; Mammalia; Artiodactyla; Suidae.
CUGCCCAGUAGUUCUGAGGCUUGGAAGAACUUGCAUGGUGCAAAGUCAGAAAGAAGCCCAGCGUGGCUAAAAUACAGUGAGCGAGGGCGGGGUGUCCUGAGAGGUGGGAUUGGAGAGGUAGGCAGGGGCCAGAUCAGGCAGGACCUUGAAGGGCUGGCCAAGGACUUUGAAUUUCAUUCUGAGUGCAAAAGCCUUCUUACCCAACAUGUCACAGCUCCUCUUCCCAGUUGGCAGUGGAGCGGAGGACCUCUGGGGACCUCCUGUAGGAGGCACCCUGCUGCCUGCAGUGGGCGGCCGACCCAGACCCUGCCUGCUCAGCUAGUGCUCUCACCAACCUUUGUUCUGUUGCUUUUUUAUUUCAGAGGUCGUGUUUUCAUCUUACCCUGGAUUUUCAACCUCAGAGACGACCAAGGUCUGUGCUCUUCCUCCGGUAUUCGAGAUUCUUCCCGUGAACUCGCUGAAGGCGAGGAACCAGACGCUGGCCCCGCCCUUCCCCGAGCUGAGGUGCCUUAGCCUGGCCUACAACAAGGUGACUCCCUGCCCUCGCCCUCUCUCCGCGGGGACGUAGACGGGCAGCUGGGGUGUGCGCCGCUCCGGCCCGAAAGCGGGCUCAGGAGUUCCGGGGUGCGGGUUCUCCGGGU